Molecule: ribosomal RNA, 497 nt
Filed under: uncultured bacterium
Lineage: Bacteria
Description: partial 16S ribosomal RNA
Rfam family: Bacterial small subunit ribosomal RNA
Source: RNAcentral
GAUGAACGCUGGCGGCGUGCCUAAUACAUGCAAGUCGAGCGAACAGAUGAGGAGCUUGCUCCUCUGACGUUAGCGGCGGACGGGUGAGUAACACGUGGAUAACCUACCUAUAAGACUGGGAUAACUUCGGGAAACCGGAGCUAAUACCGGAUAAUAUAUUGAACCGCAUGGUUCAAUAGUGAAAGACGGUUUUGCUGUCACUUAUAGAUGGAUCCGCGCCGCAUUAGCUAGUUGGUAAGGUAACGGCUUACCAAGGCAACGAUGCGUAGCCGACCUGAGAGGGGGAUCGGCCACACUGGAACUGAGACACGGUCCAGACUCCUACGGGAGGCAGCAGUAGGGAAUCGUCCGCAAUGGGCGAAAGCCUGACGGAGCAACGCCGAGUGAGUGAUGAAGGUCUUCGGAUCGUAAAACUCUGUUAUUAGGGAAGAACAAAUGUGUAAGUAACUAUGCACGUCUUGACGGUACCUAAUCAGAAAGCCACGGCUAACUACGUG